ACGGAUAAUUUUAGGUGGGUCUAUGAAUGCAAAAUGAAUGCUAUGGAUGUACAAGGCAGAUAUUUAAAUGGUUAUAGAACUAUAGGUUAAUCAAUUGCUGAUUAUCGGUUCCGUUUGAGGCAAUCAAAGGAUGUUAAUGGAAAUCGGUGCGAGAAUUGCUCCUGUUUGUAGAACGGUUACCUCCUGAGUUAUAUGCAAAACUUAAAACACGAUGCACGUGAACAUAUGUGGGUUAUUGCUAAAAUUUAAACAUGAUGCAAAUUCCCUUCAGACCAUGAGAGUUGUCUUCCGACUAUGAGGAUGAUGUCCUAAGACUAUGACGUCCUCGGCCAUGAAGCGUAUGAUAACGGAUUCAUAGGCCAGGAAACGGUAUCCUCGGGCCAUGAAGAUGGUGCCUCUAGACUAUGAAGCCUUUGAAUAAUGAUAUGCAGUUUCGAGAGAUCAUCCAGCCAUGGUAUGAUGUCUUCGAGCUACGAGGAUGAUACCCUUAGACUAUUGUGCCUUAGGACAACGUGGCGAUAUUUCAGCCUAUGAAAUGCAAAGAUGCGGUAAUAUCAAUCGUUUGAUAGAGGAAACAAGUAAUGCUUAGUCAUAUGCGAGAACGAGACAAGACAAGGCUUAGUCUUGUAUAAAAUGAGGGCAGUGCUUAGCCCGAUGCAAAAAGUGGAGACAAUGCUUUGCCUCAUGAAAGGAAAGGCAAUGCUUAGCCUUGUGAAAUAAUGGAGGCAAUUCUUAGCCUUGUGCUAUGGUGAGGGCGGUGUUUAACCCUAUGCAAGGAGCACAGAUAAUGCUUAGUCUCAUCACGAAAGACAAUGCUUAGCCUUAUGCAAUAAUUGAGGUAGUGCUUAGCCUCAUAUGGAGAAUGUAGACGGUGCUUAGUCUCAUGCAAGAAAGGAAGUGCUUAGGCUUAUGCAACAAUGGAGGUAGCGCUUAGCCUCAUGCAAGGAACGGAGAUAGUGNGGAGGAUGGAGGCAGCGCUUAGCCUCAUGCAAGGAACGGAGACAGUGCUUAGUCUCGUGAAAGGAAAGGCAGUUCUUAGACUUAUAUUGUAUUGAGGACAGUGUUUAGUCUCAUGCAAUAAUGUAGACAGUGCUUAACCGCAUGCAAGGAAUGGAGACAGUGCUUAGUCUCAUGCAAGAAAAGGCAAUGUUUAGACUUAUGCAAUAAUGAAGGCAUUGCUUAGCCUCAUGCAAGGAAGGGAGACAACACUUAGGCUCAUGCAAGUAAAGGCAAUGUUAAGCCUUAUGAGGUGAUGAGGGCAGUUCUUAGACCUAUGCAAGAAUGAGUAAUGAUUAAAUGAGAGAGGGAAAAGUAUUUCUUAGCUUGAAGCGUUUGCGUUUGGAGACUUUUGUCGGUGUGAAGAUAGUGAUCUUGUUAUGUGUAUAUAUUUGCGGAAGUUCCUGUUAUAUCCAUUGUUCCUAUAUCCAAAGGAAAAUUGUGGGUUUAGAGGGGGGAAGGUUGGUUCGUGCUCUCGGUUCCUUGCUUUGCCUUUGCUCUUGUCUUGAAGUCCUGUUUAAGUUACCCCGGGUAACAUCUGGCUACUAAAUAAAAAAAUGAAAUUUCGAAAAACAUGCAUUUGUGAUAAAUUGUUUAUAUAAAAAUGUAGUUGUUUGAAAUAUGUGAUAAUGCAUGAGAGAGAAUAAUUUUGUCGAAUUGAUGACUGUGACACGCUUUUGAGACCUUGCAACCUCCUUAACUCGGAUACAUUUCUUGACGAUUCUAAAUAUGACGAGAUUAGAAAAACUCGAGAUUC
RNAcentral lists this long non-coding RNA (1753 nucleotides) under Nicotiana tabacum (common tobacco). Its description in RNAcentral is "long non-coding RNA (NTAB_LNC009311)". Lineage: Eukaryota; Viridiplantae; Streptophyta; Magnoliopsida; Solanales; Solanaceae. The record is from RNAcentral.